RNAcentral lists this long non-coding RNA (1323 nucleotides) under Varroa destructor (honeybee mite). Its description in RNAcentral is "uncharacterized LOC111249732, transcript variant X1". Lineage: Eukaryota; Metazoa; Arthropoda; Arachnida; Mesostigmata; Varroidae. The record is from RNAcentral.
UGAAACAAUGAAUUCAGUCAGCUAUCGCCAGUUCCUCAAGAGACACAUAAACCGUUGACGCUGCAAUGAGAGACAUGCAGUCGUGUUAUUUGAUGAGUAUGCCUCAAUUACUUCCUGGGUUAAGCAAAACAUUGUCCAACGUUGGCAUUAACCUACUAAUUCUCCCGAUCUAACUCCGUGUGAUUAUGAAGUUUCCAUGACGAGCAAAGAGUGAACCUAUGCCUCACGAUAUCUCACUUUAAGAAUCAGCAGAUGGAGAAAUUGUGUAUGGAAACGCAAAUGGGUGCGCAUCGUGGUCAGCAACUCUGGUGGAGGCCAAACUUUCUGUAACACUUCCUGCAAAGCGAUACGCCCUCCACCACGGAAGGUUCGCCCCGGCGACACGGAUUCAAGAAAGACAAAUCAGCGUUCGCAUCAAAGCAAGAUACGAUGUGUUUUGACGAAAAUUCCAUGAAGACUAGCCGGUCUUUGACGAUCCAUGAGACUCAGCGCUUCAUCUAACCCCGUCUUUCUCUAAGUUAGCGGGAAAUUGUCCCAUUGAGCAUAUCAAGCGUACAACACAACCUCUUAGCGAUUCUAAAAUAAUACUAUCAACUAAAUCGCCGUUGCGAUCAAAAUUUGAUGGUCGAGCAAACGUCCCAACCUAAACGAAGGGCCGUCGGAUCCUGUUGGCCAACAAUAUAAAAAACCUUGUGGCGGCAGCUUUAUUUUUGACAACACCGACCAUGGCCAUAACGGUGGCCUCAAAGCAGAUAAUAUUUCUAUCUUCCAAAAGCUUAGCUCUACUUACGACGACGCCGAACGCGGUGUGGGCAUAGACUGCGACUACGAAUCCCACACUAAGCAUUCCAGCCGUACAUAUUUUCAUGGGUUUGCCCCUCAGAUCAUAGGUAUCAUAGGCAGUUCAGGCUGAUCGAGUGAAGCGAGAAAAUCCGACGAGACAGAAUCGGGGACUGGGGAAAUUCCGCGCAGCAGAAUGGCCCUAUCCGUAGCUGCUUUUCGUGCUGUUGUUGAUUUGUCAAUAGAAAUUGCCGAGUGUGGACAUUGUGCAUCAUACUGUGAUGAAUGCUGCACACAGCAUAAACAACUAUGUUUUCAAGAUAGAUCAAUUACAACACUGACUCCUGCGGGUCUGCCAAUAGCGCUCUACGGGAUGACUAAGACAGCCUCGUCAAGCCGCAUAGGUUUCGAAAAUCAGCUGUUCCUCCAAUGGAAUGUCGACGUCGUGCAUCCCAUCACGUGUGCGCGAAGUGGUCUAGACUCAAAACCUUUGCCCUGUGCCGGAAAUCAGCCAUCUGAGACAGCGCUUGACGGAAGUGCCAG